UACGUAGGGUGCAAGCGUUGUCCGGAAUUAUUGGGCGUAAAGGGUGUGUAGGCGGUUGGUUAAGUUUGGUGUGAAAUCUCCCGGCUCAACUGGGAGGGUGCGCCGAAUACUGAAUGACUAGAGUGCGGGAGAGGAAAGUGGAAUUCCUGGUGUAGCGGUGAAAUGCGUAGAUAUCAGGAGGAACACCGGUGGUGUAGACGGCUUUCUGGACCGUAACUGACGCUGAGACACGAAAGCGUGGGUAGCGAACAGG
RNAcentral lists this ribosomal RNA (253 nucleotides) under uncultured bacterium. Its description in RNAcentral is "partial 16S ribosomal RNA". It matches the Rfam family "Bacterial small subunit ribosomal RNA", at positions 524 to 776 of the family's 1533-position model. The record is from RNAcentral.